This is a long non-coding RNA of Prionailurus viverrinus (fishing cat), 2218 nucleotides long. RefSeq lists it as uncharacterized. The record is from RefSeq and is a predicted model, not a curated record. Lineage: Eukaryota; Metazoa; Chordata; Mammalia; Carnivora; Felidae. The transcript is spliced from 2 exons.
GCCUGCAGGCGGGGCCCGUUAGACUGGGGUCUCCCCACCCGGUGGGCAGCCUCCUGCGUCCACCCUCGCGGGCGCCCUGCGGCGACCCCGUCUGGGCACCUGCGCGAGGCCCCCGGCGGCUUGCGGGACUCGGCCGGCUCCCCGCCGCAUCUGGAAGGGUCGAAAAGAAACGAGAGCUGGGGGGUCAUCCUUGUGGCUUUUCCGGAGCGGAAAAGCGCCUCGCCCUGAAAAUACAAACCCAGAGCCCAGGCAGCGGGUCGUCGUCGUGGGGGCAGCACCCCUCGGGGCUCCGGUCGUGUCCUGAGGCACUCGGGACUGUCCGGACCCCCUGGGCCCUUGUUUCAAGAGUUGGCAGUGAUCCAACUGCCCUAAAUGAUCCCUAAAUGUUUAGGGAUAUUUAGGCAGUGUCCCUAAAUACUUAGGGACAAUACUUGUGAUUUCCGGGUCUCAGCACCUGCUCUUGGAUCUUCUCAAGGCCUGCUAGAUUUCAGAAUCUCAAAGGUUUGGCCACCGCACUCCCAACCCCUAAGGAAAGGAUGGGAGAUGAAUUAUUAAAGGACACCGGGCCAUUAGCAUAUCGGGCCUCACCUCUCUGGGGCCCUUGCCCUUGAGCAACUGAAUGUUUUAUUGAAGAGGAAAAAACAUGCACGAAAAAGUUUUCUGUUACGGUCUUACAUUACAUUUGGAAUCAGUAAAGAAAAAAAAACCCAACUGCUAUUGUUUGCACGAACGGUACUGAUGAAACCUGCACCACAAAGAGUCAAGGUAUGAGACGAUGGGAAGGACAUGUAAGCUCUCUGCAUACACUUCAGAUUCAUAUUCUGGAAUUACAGAAAUCUCUAUUUUUAAAAUUCUGUACCCAAAAUGCACUGAAGACAUUCUGGGUUGGACAAACCGUGGCAUUUCCUCUCCCCAGACCAAAACAUGAUUUUCAAUUCUGGGGGCAGCCUGUAGGCCACAAAAUUGUGGAUUGUUGUAUAAAAUCAACACCUUACCUACUAUCUUGGAGUGUAAAAACGAGGCAUUCCAUGAUGACACUUAAUUGAAGGAGGUAUAUAUAAUUAAGGAGACACUGGAAACUCAAAUGAGGGAGAAUUAUCAUUUCUGGAAAUUCUUAGAAUUGUUAAGAGUGAUAGGACAGAAAUGUUUUUCAGCUCAAUGUUGACAUUAUUUCUGCAAACAGAUAAUCUAUUUCUUACUCUUUGCAACCAUCUGUACACAACGAUAUAUGUCAGUUGUAUCUCAGUAAAGCUGAAAAAACUUCCACAUUUAUUUCUAGGCUUGGAAGUCACAUUUUCUCGUGAAAAAAUUUAAAAGAUGUGGAACGGUAUAUGGCUAGUGUUUGGUUUCUUAGUGUCAUAUACUAGAUUAGAUUCAAGACUUGGGGUUUUACUGGAACUUUCAAUCAGUCAAGUUUCUAUACCUGGCGUUCAUCAAACCACUCUUAAUAUAAUUGAGUACUUUCACAUUGAUUAUUUUUAUUUGACGCAAUGCAUCACAUAAUUUAUCUGAGAGGUCCCGAGCCCUGUUCCUUAUUUUUCUGGACAAGCUCCAUGAGACAGGGAUAGAGUUCUCUUGCUAUAGCUCCAGUGCUGAGACAGUUCUGUGUCUGUAAGGUGUAUAAUAAAAACCUAUAUAUACUGAAUGAAAUAAAUGGGGGUUGCUGUCUCGUGCAUCUAACAUGUCUCUGGCAAUUCUCCGCCACCAUGGCUUUACCAAAUGCUGGGGAAGCUCUGAGAGAUUUUGUUGUGAGAAUUUUAAGAUACUGGGAGCAAAGUGGGGUUUGCCUCUAAAAGGAAUCAGCUACAACUGUGUGCACACAAACCGUUCCUGGAUCGGGCACUGCAAGCUGUGUUACGAAGCAGAGCUGCUGUCUGUCCCUUAGCCUUGAGAUCGUUUUAGUGACUUGGUUCAAAGGGAGAGUGUCGACAGUGAACUUCUUGAAGCCCUGACGGGAAUGGCACUCAAGAGUCCAGGCUUUGAGUGAAGCGGGGGAGUAAACGCUCAUGGUUUCUGCAGCUCCCCCUGGAGAUUCUGUCACACUGCUAAAGUGCAGGAGAGGAGAGCAUGGAGAACAUGCCUGUGCGUAGACCAGGUUUGGAGCUACGUGCUACAUCUCCUUUCAGACUGUGUGAAGGCCAGUGGGGAGGAGGUAGGUGUGUGAGGAUGUCUUUAAACACAGGCCAACUUCUGGAAAAUAAAUCGUAAUGUUGGAUGA